AAUUCCUCCCUCUCGGCUGAGUCUUUGCAUUGUAAGAAGAGGGGAAUAUGAAGUGGACCAAAGAACCGCAAGAGGACCCCAGAAAGUCCUAGUACAGCUGGUAAAUAAUGUUCCUUGUUAGCAGAGCCCUUGAGCCACACAUUUUGGACCCCGGAUGCAUGUUAUUUGUGAAACCCAGUUAACUGACUUUCCCAGCCUGUUAUCACGGCUGGUUAGGAGCCAUUAGGAAGUGCUGAGUACAAAGUGCUGGCCGGGACCCAGUGUAUCUUCACUCAUUUGCUGAUUGAGCGAGCUUGAAAUGCUGCCCAUCGCUAAUGACACGCAGUGCAGACUUGCCAAGGAACACGCAGGGCCUUUGGGAUCCAGCAGGGCUGAUAUCAAGGUGACCAGAGGAGGGAAAUGAUAGUGAGUAGCAUCUGAGGCCACCCUUGCCUUCCCCUCCGUCUCGAGCCAGCUCCUCUGGUUCCAAGGCUGUUUCCUCCUGCGGUCCCUCACCAGGCAGCAGCCUCCACAUUAGCAAGCAUCUGCCCUCCGCAGUUCCUGCCUUCGCUCAGCUCCUGUGACUGACAGCACCACGAGGCCAGGCCCCGUGCCAGGCCCUGAGAGCCCGACAAGAAGCAGACACCAUCCCAGCCUCAGGUGGCUCACAGACUGGGGAUGCAGACAGACGUGGAAAUGGGCGAGUCUCUCUCCUGUGGUGCAAGAAAACCCAGUGGUGCCAAAAGAGCAGGGGAACAGGAAAUGGGACCAAAGAGCCAAAGGAACCAAAAAAUCUCAGUCUGUGUAGGUCCCUGGAGAAGGCGAGGCUGGAAUGGAAUUCAUCCAGAAAGCUGAAUGACGGGGAGAAAUGAUGUUUCUAGAAAACAGAGCUGCAGGUGCAGAUGGCAGAGCACAGCAGAUUGCCACGUGAACUUUGGAGGGAACUUGUGGCAAGAAACUGAGGCCUCCUUCCAGGCUGCCGACAUUCCAAGAAGCCGUUCCUCCGGUGCAGGCAGGGAGACCAGUCUGCAGAAGGAGAGUCAAGGGACUGGAACUCUUCACGCCAGGGAGUGAACGGCUGAUCACCCCCGUGCAGCUCCCUCUUUCCCAACCUUACCCUUAAGGACACAAAUAAACAAAGAAUGGGUGAAAUGUCCUGGUGGCAUCUUAUGUGGACUGAAGAAGAGGAGAGAACUUCUCUCGUAAGUGAAGAAGGUGAGCUGUUCACUCACGUGUUUGGUUAAUCCAGCGCCAGUUUCUCCUCAAUGUUAGCAUGAAUUGAAUAGCUUCGACGAAACAGAGAAAUUCUUUGGAAGACACAAACUACCAAAGCUUCACUCUAGAAGUCAAUAACAAGAAUCGCCCUAUACACAUUAAAUAAAUUGAAUUCAAAACUGAAAACCCUCCAACAAAGGAAAACCCAGCGGGCUCCACUGUGAAUUCAAAUACCAAGUUAUUUAAGGAAAAAAUAAUCCCAGUUCCACACAAACUUUUACAGAAAAUAGAAGAGGCGGAAACACUUCUCAAUCAUUUUUGAAUCCCUGAUAUCAAAAAGAGAAAAAAAAGGGAAAACGACCAUCUACAAUUCCUCAUGAAUAUAGAUGCAAAAAUCCUUAGCAAAAUAUUAUCAAAGCAGCGCAUACAGCAGAGAGCUCAUAAUUGCCAUGUCGGGAAGUAGUCAGUCUUUCAAGCGGACACACAAACUGCAGGGCUUUCAUGCGAUGGGACACUGUGCUGGGAGAGAAAGGAAUGACCUACAGAGACGCAAGGACAGGGAGAAGUCUCAAAUGCAUUACGGGGAGGUAGAGACUGAGGUAUGAUCUUAUCUACAUGGCAUCCUGAAAAAGAUGCAAUUAUGGGAACAGAAAACAGGUCAUUUGAUGGCCAGGAUGAAGAGCAGGAUGCCCAGAGCGACAUUGUAAGAAGGAAUUUCUUGUGGUAAUAGAAUAGUCCUGGGUCUUAUGUCCAAGUACAGUUGUGUCACAAUGUAUCCCACUUUUAUGUGUAAUUAUUAUGUACUAAUAAAAAAUUUUAAA
Long non-coding RNA from Sciurus carolinensis (gray squirrel), 2015 nucleotides. RefSeq lists it as uncharacterized. The transcript has 4 exons. Lineage: Eukaryota; Metazoa; Chordata; Mammalia; Rodentia; Sciuridae. The record is from RefSeq and is a predicted model, not a curated record.